AUACGGAGGGGGCUAGCGUUGUUCGGAAUUACUGGGCGUAAAGCGCGUGUAGGCGGAUCGUUAAGUCAGGGGUGAAAGCCCGGGGCUCAACCCCGGAACUGCCCUUGAUACUGGCGAUCUAGAGUCCGGAAGAGGUGGGCGGAAUUCCCGGUGUAGAGGUGAAAUUCGUAGAUAUCGGGAGGAACACCAGUGGCGAAGGCGGCUCACUGGUCCGGUACUGACGCCGAGACGCGAAAGCGUGGGGAGCAAACAGGAUUAGAUACCCUGUAGUCC
RNAcentral lists this ribosomal RNA (273 nucleotides) under uncultured bacterium. RNAcentral's name for it is "partial 16S ribosomal RNA". It matches the Rfam family "Bacterial small subunit ribosomal RNA", at positions 523 to 796 of the family's 1533-position model. The record is from RNAcentral.